RNAcentral lists this ribosomal RNA (471 nucleotides) under uncultured bacterium. Its description in RNAcentral is "bacterial SSU rRNA". It matches the Rfam family "Bacterial small subunit ribosomal RNA", at positions 36 to 518 of the family's 1533-position model. The record is from RNAcentral.
CUGGCGGCGUGCUUAACACAUGCAAGUCGACGAAGCAUUCCAACUCUCGGAGGAAGAAUGACUGAGUGGCGGACGGGUGAGUAACGCGUGGGUAACCUGCCUUAUACAGGGGGAUAACAGUUAGAAAUGACUGCUAAUACCGCAUAACCCGCUAGUACCGCAUGGUACAGACGGAAAAGAUUUAUCGGUAUAAGAUGGACCCGCGUCUGAUUAGCUAGUUGGUGAGGUAAUGGCUCACCAAGGCGACGAUCAGUAGCCGGCUUGAGAGAGUGAACGGCCACAUUGGGACUGAGACACGGCCCAAACUCCUACGGGAGGCAGCAGUGGGGAAUAUUGCACAAUGGGGGAAACCCUGAAUGCAGCAACGCCGCGUGAAGGAAGAAGUAUUUCGGUAUGUAAACUUCUAUCAGCAGGAAAGAAAAUGACGGUACCUGACUAAGAAGCCCCGGCUAACUACGUGCCAGCCGCCGC